AUUGAACGCUGGCGGCAGGCCUAACACAUGCAAGUCGAGCGGAUGAAGGGAGCUUGCUCCUGGAUUCAGCGGCGGACGGGUGAGUAAUGCCUAGGAAUCUGCCUGGUAGUGGGGGAUAACGUCCGGAAACGGGCGCUAAUACCGCAUACGUCCUGAGGGAGAAAGUGGGGGAUCUUCGGACCUCACGCUAUCAGAUGAGCCUAGGUCGGAUUAGCUAGUUGGUGGGGUAAAGGCCUACCAAGGCGACGAUCCGUAACUGGUCUGAGAGGAUGAUCAGUCACACUGGAACUGAGACACGGUCCAGACUCCUACGGGAGGCAGCAGUGGGGAAUAUUGGACGAUGGGCGAAAGCCUGAUCCAGCCAUGCCGCGUGUGUGAAGAAGGUCUUCGGAUUGUAAAGCACUUUAAGUUGGGAGGAAGGGCAGUAAGUUAAUACCUUGCUGUUUUGACGGUACCAACAGAAUAAGCACCGGCUAACCUCGUG
RNAcentral lists this ribosomal RNA (484 nucleotides) under uncultured bacterium. RNAcentral describes it as "partial 16S ribosomal RNA". It matches the Rfam family "Bacterial small subunit ribosomal RNA", at positions 30 to 507 of the family's 1533-position model. The record is from RNAcentral.